AUUCAUCUCUGCCAGGCUGUGGGGGACUGGAGAGUGGCAACUGAACUGAGACCAUCAUAUCAUGAAUAGAGGUGUCUCUACCUUGCUGAGCAAGAGAAUAUACUCUGAGCCUUUAAAACUCUAGAUACCUGGGCUUCAAUUUUAGAAAUUCUGCCUCCAAAGCCCUGAUGAGGGUCCCGAGUCUCUGUAUUUUGAAAAUAUACCAUGUUAUCCUGAUGCCCAGCUGGGAUCUGGUCAAUAAGUGCCAAUUAGCGGUGACUAUGCUUGUAGACUGACAAUGUGUCUAUGGAAGGAGAUACAGGGAGGACAACUGGGGGACCUCAGAGGGAAGAGUCACUUUUUCUUGUACAUCUUCAUACUGAUUGGACUUUUUUUUAGUACUGUGGAUUGAGACCUGGGGUGCUCUACUGCUGUUACACCCCCUUUUUACUUUUUGAUAUAGGAUCUCACUAAAUUGCCCAGGCUGGCCUCAAAUUUGUGAUCUUCCUGCCUCAGCUGCUGGGAUUACAGGCGGGCGCCACCAAGCCGACUCUGAUUGGAUUUUUACUUAAAAAAAAAAGAAAGAAAAAAUCUGGAGGAUUGAUGAUCUGCAAACCCUACGCCUCCCACUAGGUGGGGCAGGGAGGGGCAGUGAAAUGCAGUGCGUGGACCAGAGGAAGAAAGAACUGCAGAGCACAAAUCCUGCCUCCAGAGGGCAGCAGCCUCCCAGAGCCCACUGAUGGCACCUGGGUGAGACAGUACCCAGGGCUGCCAGAUGUAACGGUUUUUCAAGAGAAGCCUGAAGUCAUAUUUUCACAUUAAAUCGUCAAAUGAUUUAAUAAAUGAAAAAGCAUGGGAGAAAUGCAAUUUGCCUUUGGACCAAAAUUGGUUGCAGGCCACCAGCUUGUGCCUUUGGAACUAGGAUUCCAUUAAGAAUUGGGCAUCUCCAAGGACAGUCUGCAAACCAAGGCAGAGUCAUCCUUUGUUUAGAAAACUGAGUUGACUCCCAUGGGUCCACACAAGACAAAGACAAAGUAGGUGGCCUCAGGUGGACCAGGGAGUCACCACUCAAUUAUUUAAUUUGACACAUA
Molecule: long non-coding RNA, 1070 nt
Filed under: Marmota monax (woodchuck)
Lineage: Eukaryota; Metazoa; Chordata; Mammalia; Rodentia; Sciuridae
Source: RNAcentral